AGCAAAAGGUUUUUUAUUAAAUCAAGUAAAAACCCUUUACAAUGAAAAUUCAAUCAUGCUUUUUCGAUUGAAUCUUCGCUUUUACAAAAUGAUCUACAAGUAUCAUAUGCAAUGAAGUCUAUUGCACACUGGAGAAGAUUAUUCUCAAUAUAUGCUCUAUGCAUUUUAUUAUAGGAUGUUUGGGAUUGCACGUAAGAUAACAAAGUAUAGAUAUUCACGCCUGGUUUUAGAGAUUUUUUUUUACAAGGUUUAUCCAAAAAUUUCCACUUGGGCGAAUCUUGUCAAUUAUUUUCCUUUCUUCUAAUUGUAUAAAUACUGAAUAGUGGAAAAAAUGAAAAGCGGCAGCCUCCGGGUUUCUAUGAUGUAGAUGAAAGAAAAGAGUAGCCGUGAGAAGUUGAAAGAGAAGAGAGGACAUGGCAAACAUGACCGUCCAAGAUUACAUCCUUUUGUUGACGAUACAUUUACAACUCCCGCAGUGUGUUUGCACAACUCCUGUGCUCUAUAUGUUCGUCGCCAGAAGCAAAUAACACAGUGAAGCUCGAGUUUGAAAUUCAUGGUCCACGACGCAAGCCGUAAAUUGCCUCACGCAUCACGAAGAUCGCAACCCGAUUCGUCACCCACCGAGCGAAGAUUGACUCAGAUCAACUUGUUUGUUCAGGUAUAUCCUCUAAAAAGAAAACAUCUCGAGAUGGGGAAAGGCACUUUGAAUCCCAUUCUGCAUAAGAAGCCGAUUCUUGUAUCAAUGCAAAGUGCGUAUAUGCAUAGUUUGGGGUCCAAGAGCCUCUCAAAGUCUUAAUCAGUUUCUCUUACCGUUUCGAGAAGCAUCUCUAAUUCCUGAAGUUUUCUUAUUGGUUAAGGAGAAAGUGUAUGGGCCUUUUUUUAAAUUUUAACUAAUAUUACCUAAUAAAAUAUAUGAACGGAAAAAAACACAGCUUUUGAGCUGAUUUUCAUAUAUAAACAGCAAUAAUUUCCUUUUAAAAAUAUAUAAAAAUAUGAUAUAAACUUAUAUACUAG
Molecule: long non-coding RNA, 1014 nt
Filed under: Androctonus crassicauda
Lineage: Eukaryota; Metazoa; Arthropoda; Arachnida; Scorpiones; Buthidae
Source: RNAcentral